This 522-nucleotide ribosomal RNA is filed under the name Pseudomonas fluorescens. RNAcentral describes it as "bacterial SSU rRNA". It matches the Rfam family "Bacterial small subunit ribosomal RNA", at positions 50 to 567 of the family's 1533-position model. The record is from RNAcentral. Lineage: Bacteria; Pseudomonadati; Pseudomonadota; Gammaproteobacteria; Pseudomonadales; Pseudomonadaceae.
UACACAUGCAAGUCGAGCGGUAGAGAGAAGCUUGCUUCUCUUGAGAGCGGCGGACGGGUGAGUAAUGCCUAGGAAUCUGCCUGGUAGUGGGGGAUAACGUUCGGAAACGAACGCUAAUACCGCAUACGUCCUACGGGAGAAAGCAGGGGACCUUCGGGCCUUGCGCUAUCAGAUGAGCCUAGGUCGGAUUAGCUAGUUGGUGAGGUAAUGGCUCACCAAGGCGACGAUCCGUAACUGGUCUGAGAGGAUGAUCAGUCACACUGGAACUGAGACACGGUCCAGACUCCUACGGGAGGCAGCAGUGGGGAAUAUUGGACAAUGGGCGAAAGCCUGAUCCAGCCAUGCCGCGUGUGUGAAGAAGGUCUUCGGAUUGUAAAGCACUUUAAGUUGGGAGGAAGGGCAUUAACCUAAUACGUUAGUGUUUUGACGUUACCGACAGAAUAAGCACCGGCUAACUCUGUGCCAGCAGCCGCGGUAAUACAGAGGGUGCAAGCGUUAAUCGGAAUUACUGGGCGUAAAGCG